UUUCCUACGGGGGGCAGCAGUGGGGAAUAUUGGACAAUGGGGGAAACCCUGAUCCAGCGACGCCGCGUGAGUGAAGAAGUAUUUCGGUAUGUAAAGCUCUAUCAGCAGGGAAGAAAAUGACGGUACCUGACUAAGAAGCCCCGGCUAACUACGUGCCAGCAGCCGCGGUAAUACGUAGGGGGCAAGCGUUAUCCGGAUUUACUGGGCGUAAAGGGAGCGUAGACGGCAUUGCAAGUCUGAUGUGAAAGCCCGGGGCCCAACCCCGGAACUGCUCUGGAAACUGUGCGGCUAGAGUACUGGAGGGG
Molecule: ribosomal RNA, 305 nt
Filed under: uncultured bacterium
Lineage: Bacteria
Description: bacterial SSU rRNA
Rfam family: Bacterial small subunit ribosomal RNA
Source: RNAcentral